GUCUUUACGCAGAGACAGUAACAUAGCUAAUGAGGAUCAAACCGAGGCGUGUUUAUUGCUAAUUGAAAACUAUUCCCAAUACCCCGCCAAGANAAUGCACGCAGACUUUUCGAACAGAGGUUAUAUAUUUUGUUGCUAACUACUAAAAUACUAUUCAGG
This 159-nucleotide small nuclear RNA is filed under the name Hofstenia miamia. RNAcentral describes it as "U4 spliceosomal RNA". It matches the Rfam family "U4 spliceosomal RNA". From Rfam's summary of the family: U4 small nuclear RNA (U4 snRNA) is a component of the major U2-dependent spliceosome. The structure of U4 snRNA from yeast and human has been reported. U4 snRNA presents a k-turn RNA motif in the 5p-SL related to recognition of Snu13 protein. The record is from RNAcentral. Lineage: Eukaryota; Metazoa; Xenacoelomorpha; Acoela; Hofsteniidae.